CGCCCUUCAGAGGGGGACAACAGUUGGAAACGACUGCUAAUACCGCAUACGAUCCAAUCUCGGCAUCGAGGAUGGAUGAAAGGUGGCCUCUAUUUAUAAGCUAUCACUGAAGGAGGGGAUUGCGUCUGAUUAGCUAGUUGGAGGGGUAACGGCCCACCAAGGCAAUGAUCAGUAGCCGGUCUGAGAGGAUGAACGGCCACAUUGGGACUGAGACACGGCCCAG
RNAcentral lists this ribosomal RNA (223 nucleotides) under uncultured bacterium. Its description in RNAcentral is "partial 16S ribosomal RNA". It matches the Rfam family "Bacterial small subunit ribosomal RNA", at positions 127 to 334 of the family's 1533-position model. The record is from RNAcentral.